AGGGUUAGUCACUUAAUUGGUAAAGGACUUUCUUGUCACGAAAGUAGAUGUCGGUUCGAAUCCGGUCUGGCCCG
This 74-nucleotide transfer RNA is filed under the name Pseudogymnoascus destructans. Its description in RNAcentral is "partial tRNA-Asp". It matches the Rfam family "tRNA". From Rfam's summary of the family: Transfer RNA (tRNA) molecules are approximately 80 nucleotides in length. Their secondary structure includes four short double-helical elements and three loops (D, anti-codon, and T loops). The record is from RNAcentral. Lineage: Eukaryota; Fungi; Ascomycota; Leotiomycetes; Thelebolales; Thelebolaceae.